AUUGUACCUUUUCUACUUCUCAACAUAAAAUUCCUUUCCGGUGAGCUUUCUACUUCUUCAUAGCCAGGAGUUCGGCCAUAUCUUUGUACACAACAAAAAAAUUGUUCGAACUAGGGUUAGCUCCGCCGUUUCUUCUAUUCUCUCCUUUCUUUUCUUUAUUUCAUUCUUUUUGUCUCUCUUUCUUGAAUAGAAGACGGUUUUCUUCUCCUCGGCCGCCACUCCUCAAAUCCCUCAAACGCAGAACUACCGACAAUAACCACCAUUGUCCCUAAUAUAGGAUUCCCCCCUUCGCCUCCCUCCACUUUUUUUACCGUUUCUUCUUCUAUUUUUUUUCCGUUUUUUCCUUUUUUCGCUUUUGCAUCCGUUCACUCCUCCUCCUCCUCCAUCGCCACACCAUCUCCCUCUCCUUUAUCGGCUCCUUCUAUUCUACACCUAGCAUUAUGGGUUUCCCUUCUCCCACCAGCCCUAGGAUUUCCCUUCCGCCUCCCUCCAUUUCAACUUUAUUCUCGCCGGAUCCCCUCUCAGCCAUUGGAAGGGCUUUCAAAUCCGCCGCAAGCUCGUCGCCAUCAUCGGCAUCUCUCACUGCAUGUGUAGGAUUGAGGCAAUUUUCAGCAACAACAAGAUGUACAAUGCGGAGAUGGCUACUGUGAUGGCGAGUCGCAGUUCAAAUUAUUGCUUGCCUAUAACGAUGUAAUGAAAGCUUUUGCAGAGUGUAACAAGUUUGGAAAUCUCCCAUAUGGCUUCAGAGCUAACACAUGGCUUAUUCCCCCUGUAGUGGCAUUAUCAACUUCUAUUUUUCCACCUCUUCCC
Long non-coding RNA from Coffea eugenioides, 810 nucleotides. RefSeq lists it as uncharacterized. The record is from RefSeq and is a predicted model, not a curated record. The transcript is spliced from 4 exons. Lineage: Eukaryota; Viridiplantae; Streptophyta; Magnoliopsida; Gentianales; Rubiaceae.